Nothoprocta perdicaria is the source of this 185-nucleotide long non-coding RNA. RefSeq lists it as uncharacterized. NCBI's taxonomy places the organism in Eukaryota, Metazoa, Chordata, Aves, Tinamiformes, Tinamidae. The record is from RefSeq and is a predicted model, not a curated record. The transcript has 2 exons.
CAUUUAACGCGACAAAGUGCUACAAGUACCAUCUCUUGCAAACAUUCACCACUGGGCACGGUUGUUAAGAAACCUUCCUGAUAAUAAGUCAUUGAUAGGAGGAAAAUAAAGAAGAUACGUAAUUGUGCAGACUAGAAGGCUGAAUGGAUGCUGGGGGACUGAUUCAACAUGACACCUCUCUGCAG